Molecule: long non-coding RNA, 302 nt
Organism: Neofelis nebulosa (Clouded leopard)
Lineage: Eukaryota; Metazoa; Chordata; Mammalia; Carnivora; Felidae
Exons: 2
Source: RefSeq, a predicted model, not a curated record
ACAGCCUUGCAAGAAAACAAACCAAGUCACCUGUGUAUUCCUACAGUCAGGAAAGACCAUCAGAGCCCUAACCUUCAGGACUGGAGGAUUCAAAAUGUUCAGAUAAAAAUACACACAUAGGGGUGCCCGCGUGGCUCAGUAGGCUAAGCGUCCGACUUGGGCUCAGGUCAUGAUCUCACAGUUUGUGAGUUCGAGCCCCACAUCAGGCACCAUGCUGGCAGUGUGGAGCCUGCUUGGGAUUUUUUCUCUCUCCCUCUAUCUCUGCCCUGCUUGCUCUCUCUCUCUCUCUCUCUCUCUCUCUC